GUUCAAUAGAACAGAAAGUUCAGUGGCUCUAUUUUCUGAGAAGAUGCAUUGAUGAAGCCAAGAAGGGUAUCAAGAAAACUUUCUCAAUGCAGAUAUUCACUAAGGACAUCCCAACCUGUGACACUACUUUAUCUGUAACAGCAACAAAGACUGAUACGGUGGAUGGUAUAAUUGGGAAAUUACUACCAAUGAUAAGAAUGCCUAACCAUGAAGAUUAUGAACUGUGGUUCUGCCCUGGCCAUGAGGAAGCUUCAAGAGCACUCCAAGG
Long non-coding RNA from Mastomys coucha (southern multimammate mouse), 268 nucleotides. RefSeq lists it as uncharacterized. The record is from RefSeq and is a predicted model, not a curated record. The transcript has 4 exons. NCBI's taxonomy places the organism in Eukaryota, Metazoa, Chordata, Mammalia, Rodentia, Muridae.